GAUGAACGCUAGCGGCAGGCUUAAUACAUGCAAGUCGUGGGGCAGCAUGAGUAGCAAUACUUGAUGGCGACCGGCAAACGGGUGAGGAACACGUACACAACCUUCCUUCAAGCGGGGAAUAGCCCAGAGAAAUUUGGAUUAAUACCCCAUAAUAUAUUUGAUAAGGCAUCUUAUUAAUAUUAAAGCUUCGGCACUUGAUGAUGGGUGUGCGGCUGAUUAGAUAGUUGGUGGGGUAACGGCCCACCAAGUCUACGAUCAGUAGCUGAUGUGAGAGCAUGAUCAGCCACACGGGCACUGAGA
Molecule: ribosomal RNA, 300 nt
Filed under: uncultured bacterium
Lineage: Bacteria
Description: bacterial SSU rRNA
Rfam family: Bacterial small subunit ribosomal RNA
Source: RNAcentral